GAUGAACGCUGGCGGCGUGCCUAAUACAUGCAAGUCGAGCGAACAGACGAGGAGCUUGCUCCUCUGACGUCAGCGGCGGACGGGUGAGUAACACGUGGAUAACCUACCUAUAAGACUGGGAUAACUUCGGGAAACCGGAGCUAAUACCGGAUAAUAUAUUGAACCGCAUGGUUCAAUAGUGAAAGACGGUUUUGCUGUCACUUAUAGAUGGAUCCGCGCCGCAUUAGCUAGUUGGUAAGGUAACGGCUUACCAAGGCAACGAUGCGUAGCCGACCUGAGAGGGUGAUCGGCCACACUGGAACUGAGACACGGUCCAGACUCCUACGGGAGGCAGCAGUAGGGAAUCUUCCGCAAUGGGCGAAAGCCUGACGGAGCAACGCCGCGUGAGUGAUGAAGGUCUUCGGAUCGUAAAACUCUGUUAUUAGGGAAGAACAAAUGUGUAAGUAACUAUGCACGUCUUGACGAUACCUAAUCAGAAAGCCACGGCUAACUACGUG
This 497-nucleotide ribosomal RNA is filed under the name uncultured bacterium. Its description in RNAcentral is "partial 16S ribosomal RNA". It matches the Rfam family "Bacterial small subunit ribosomal RNA", at positions 28 to 507 of the family's 1533-position model. The record is from RNAcentral.